RNAcentral lists this transfer RNA (74 nucleotides) under Butyrivibrio sp. RNAcentral describes it as "tRNA-Asp". It matches the Rfam family "tRNA". From Rfam's summary of the family: Transfer RNA (tRNA) molecules are approximately 80 nucleotides in length. Their secondary structure includes four short double-helical elements and three loops (D, anti-codon, and T loops). Lineage: Bacteria; Bacillati; Bacillota; Clostridia; Lachnospirales; Lachnospiraceae. RNAcentral also lists the same sequence under 2 other names. The record is from RNAcentral.
GGCCCGGUGGCUCAGCUGGUUAGAGCGCCGCCCUGUCACGGCGGAGGUCAGGGGUUCGAACCCCCUCCGGGUCG